Molecule: ribosomal RNA, 1564 nt
Filed under: Echinocardium cordatum (sea potato)
Lineage: Eukaryota; Metazoa; Echinodermata; Echinoidea; Spatangoida; Loveniidae
Description: 16S ribosomal RNA
Rfam family: Bacterial large subunit ribosomal RNA
Source: RNAcentral
UCUGUUUAAAAGUUUUGACCUUAGGAUUAUUAACAACUUAUAACAACUAUUUACCCUUAGACCUGAAACCAAUUUUUAUGAUAAGUAUCUUUAUAAGAAACCCCCUAUAUCCCGAUAAAAAAAGUACCGCAAGGAAACAGUGAAAUACAAGCCCAAUAGCAAAACUAAAAACAGGAAAGGUUAAACCUUUUACCUCGUGUAUAAUGGAUUAACAAGAAGAAAGAAAAGAUAUUCCAACCCCGAAACUAAGUGAGCUAACCCCCUCUUCUCUUUAGAAGAUAGCCCUUACUGUUGCAAUAGUAAGACAAAAGGGAGGGUUAGUUGUUAUAUGCUAACCGCACUUAGAGAUAGCUGGUUCCUCGAGAAACUAGUCUAAGCUAGCCCCUUUCCCCUUUGUAUAAAAAGCCAUUAGUAAGUAUUAACUAAAGCUUGAUAAACCAAAAGAAAGCGGCCAGAGUAAAAAGGACAAGCUUUUUACUCAAAAUGGAAAACCCCAGUGAAUUUAGUUAAAGUCAAUAAUGUUUUAUAAUAGUGUAUAGGAGACAAGUAGGCCUAAAAGCAGCCAACUAAUGAUAAAGCGUUAAAGCUAAUCUUUAUAAAUGCCCUAAAAGAUUUUUGAAGAAAAAACUAAUACUAAAAACUGCUACCGAGGCAUUCUAUAAUUAGAAAAGAUAAUGUUAAUAUAAGUAAGAUAACCUCCAAUUGACCGUAAACAACCUUAACCAAGGAAGAAAAAUGUUCUAACUAAAAACAGAAUUUUUCUUAGUUGUCUUCCCCCUCAGGAGGAGGUAGUUAUAAUUAAUAGAGGAGAAGGAACUCGGCAAAUUUAAGCUUCGCCUGUUUACCAAAAACAUCGCCCCCUGAAAAAUAAGCAUAGGGGGUCCUGCCUGCCCAGUGACUGAAAAGUUAAACGGCCGCGGUAUCUUGACCGUGCGAAGGUAGCAUAAUCAUUUGUCUCCUAAAUAGAGACUGGUAUGAAUGGCAAGACGGAGCUUCACUGUCUCCUCCUCUUUGAUCUGAACUUCACAUUCCCGUGAAGAGGCGAGAAUUAGUUCGUAAGACGAGAAGACCCUGUCGAGCUGUAGCUAAAUUUUAAUUGUUGUUUACUAUUAGCCCUAACUAAUUAUAAUAAGAGUAGCAGGCCUAAAGCAUGACAAAUUAAAACAAGCUUUGAUUGGGGCAAUCCCGGAGAAAGAAAAUCCUCCGCUACUAUAUGGUUAUAUUAACCUAAAAUAAAAGAAUUAUUUUUCUUAAAUCAUAAAAAUGAAGGUAUGAUCCACUUACAGUGAUCAAAAGAACAAGUUACCGCAGGGAUAACAGCGUUAUCUUUUCUGAGAGUUCAUAUUGACGAAAAGGUUUGCGACCUCGAUGUUGGAUCGGGACAUCCUAAGGGUGCAGAAGCUUUUAAGGGUUGGUCUGUUCGACCAUUAAAGUCCUACGUGAUCUGAGUUCAGACCGGCGAAAGCCAGGUCAGUUUCUAUCUACGAACCCCUCUUCCUUAGUACGAAAGGACCAGGAAGAACGUGUCCCUGCAUAGUAAAUGUAAACACUACAAAUUAAAAAC